Lactuca sativa (garden lettuce) is the source of this 848-nucleotide non-coding RNA. The record is from RefSeq and is a predicted model, not a curated record. NCBI's taxonomy places the organism in Eukaryota, Viridiplantae, Streptophyta, Magnoliopsida, Asterales, Asteraceae.
AGUAAUGCAAGUGAUGCUCUUGAUAAGCUGAUGUUCUUAAGUGUAACGGAUCCCUCAUUACUUGGAGAUGCUGAGACACUGGUAUUGGAAUGACCAAAGAAGAACUAAUAAACUGCCUUGGAACCAUUUCUCAAAGUGUUUUAAGAUUCCCAGAAGCUAGUGUAAGGUUUUUACCACCUCAGCAUUGCCAGGUCGACGCCUAGCUGUCACAACAGGAAUUCGCUGGACAAACAAAAACAUUACAGGUUGACGCCUACUUUCGGUUUUAUUAUUAUUAUAGCAGUGAAAAUUGUUGGGAUUUGGAUGAGAUUGCUAUACUUGGGUAAAUUUUCUUAAAAUAAACAACUAAAUACAAGUAUAUUUUCUUUAUCAACAUUGGGUAGAAACUAGAUAACAUAUUUACAAGAUUGUAAUUGUAAUACCUUUCCGGAUGCCUUUUCAAAAGCUGCUACCAUCUCCAACACAUAUGUGCCCUUACCCGUUCCUAAGUUGUAGACUUCACAGCCUAAAAAAAAGAUAAUGGUUUGAUUUAAUGUCAAACAGAACAAAAUUUCCAAAACUAAAAAAUGUCAUCUGCAAUCAGAAAGAGAUACACACCUAUAUUAGGGUCCGAGAGUAUCUUCAAAGCAGCAGUGUGUCCAUCUGCUAAAUUUACAACAUGGAUGUAAUCACGUACCUGGAAUUUGAGGGUAGAAAAGGUAAAUAUCAACAUCAUAAUUCCCAACAAACAGCAACAGGAGGAAAACUCAAUAGAACCUUAAAUAAGGGAAUUUCAAAUUCCAACAAACAGCAACAUAACACAAAAAAGAAACCAACCCAAAGUAUAGAUAGAUGCAGAAAGCAUAAAU